RNAcentral lists this long non-coding RNA (219 nucleotides) under Gallus gallus (chicken). Lineage: Eukaryota; Metazoa; Chordata; Aves; Galliformes; Phasianidae. The record is from RNAcentral.
UUUUCAUGGCAGGAUCAGUCUGGUAUGUCUGAAGAGCUUCUUUCACGAACCACUGGCAAAAGGCAGGGCCAAUCCACUCUCUUGCAUGAAUCCCGCAGUCUAUCCAGACAGCUUUCUUGUAAGGUCGUGAUCUUUUACCUAGCUUGAGCACAUACAGUGGUCUCCCUUCAUAGGAUUUUCCAACAGAGAACAUAUGAACAAGAUCUGAAUGAGUUUUGU